GUCUUUUUGAUUAUAAUUUAAAGUCUAACCUGCCCAAUGAAAAUUAAAUGGCCGCGGUAUUUUGACCGUGCAAAGGUAGCAUAAUCAUUAGUUUUUUAAUUAAAAGCUGGAAUGAAUGGUUGGACGAGAAAAUUACUGUCUCAAUUUAAUUUAAUUAGAAUUUUAUUUUUAAGUUAAAAAGCUUAAAUAAAUUUAAAAGACGAGAAGACCCUAUAGAGUUUAAUAUUAUAUAAAAUUUUAAUUUUUAUAAAUUUUUUAAUUUUUUAUAAUAUUUUAUUGGGGUGAUAAAUAAAUUUAUAAAACUUUAUUUUAUUUUUAACAUAAAUUAAUGAUUUAUUGAUCCAUUAUUAAUGAUUAUAAGAUUAAAUUACCUUAGGGAUAACAGCGUAAUUUUUUUAGAGAGUUCAAAUCGAAAAAAAAGAUUGCGACCUCGAUGUUGGAUUAAAGUAAAUUUUUGGUGUAGAAGCUAAAAUAUUAAGUCUGUUCGACUUUUAAAACUUUACAUGAUCUGAGUUUAAACCGGCGUGAGCCAGGUUGGUUUCUAUCUUUAAAUAAAUAAAAUAUUUUAGUACGAAAGGACCAAAUAUUUAUAAUAAUUAUUUUUUUUUGAAUAU
This 614-nucleotide ribosomal RNA is filed under the name Ochthebius quadricollis. RNAcentral's name for it is "partial 16S ribosomal RNA". It matches the Rfam family "Bacterial large subunit ribosomal RNA", at positions 1830 to 2726 of the family's 2925-position model. Lineage: Eukaryota; Metazoa; Arthropoda; Insecta; Coleoptera; Hydraenidae. The record is from RNAcentral.